CACACACACACACACACACACAGAGCCUGCAUGUGCACCAUGAAGAGGAAGGAAGUCUCCUGGGGCUGGGGAGUUGAAGAAUCUGCACAUGAGACUUGAAUGUGUUAAACUUGAUCUCAUAUCUUUUUGUUUUUGGUUAAAUUAAAACUAUAUUGUCCUGGAUUAUAUUAUUAUCCAUGCAAUCAGCUGGCUGGCACAAGCGAUUUAAAAACCAGUAAUAAUAAUGAUGGUGGCAAUGUGAUUAAGUUUGGUUAAAGUAAAUCUAGAUGUAUUUUACAGAGAGGGAGAAGUAAGAACAGGCAGCACCAUGUCAAGCUAGUUUCUCGGGAUGAGUUCGGGAUAAUCUUUCAAACUGGCUAACUGGAGGAAUGCUGUCUGGAGCGCUGGGAAUGCUUUUGGAAAACCGGUUUGUUUGGGACCUGCUGGAUGGAGGAGAGGUGAGGUGAGGUACACUGCAGAAGCCAGACCAACAGCAUCAAGCUUUCCUGUACUCGCAGAUUGCGCCUGGGUUGAACACGCAGCUGCAUUGUCUAGAGCUGCACGGAAUGAACGAAGCUGUUCCGCGGGCCGCGCUGCACCCCUCCGCACCCCCGCCCCGAACAGUAAGAGUUUAUGUGCUGUGGGAACCUCUGGAACCAGCGUAUUCACUCUUACAGUUCCUGGCGGCAGGGAGACAAGCCUUCACACCUGCAAAGAGGAUAUAUCAAACACGGGCUUAGGCUGUGAACACUGCAUUGCGGAUCCCCUUAUCGAAAGCGUGACACUGUAAAAGCACAGCAAAGUGUAAUCGAGUGUUGUAAAGCUGCUUUUAAACGUAGCAAACAAUUGCACAUGUAGCGUGGAAACUGUGCCAAGCCUCAAUUAAUUGUGAUGCUGGUAAAGAUGACGUUUUGCACUGAAUACGCCAAACAAUUUUUGAAUGAUGAAUAAAUAAAUGUGACUGAUAGUUGAAUAUGAUGAGCACACAGAAAAAAAAAGUCAACUGUUACUGAUAAUCUCCUCUUGUAUGAGUACAACAGCUCGUUAGUUUAAUUAAAGCUCAAAGGCUUGAAAUGUCGUUAGCGGUAGUUGUUGUUUCGGCGCCCUCUGCUGGUGGAGUGUUGGUACUGCUGGUAUGAUCAGAUUCACGGGUUGCAGUGGACUGUGUUUGUUACCCGAAUCUGGAUCACGGCGCCAAGGUCUUGUUUUUAAAUGUAUUUAUUAUUUAUUUUUUAAAUUAUAAGUAGGGCUUCUGAUUGUUGCUGUUUUACCCCGACUUUUCUGCUCUCAAUUCAUAAUACUUCUUAAUCCACUCGUGUAUCUCAACCACACUGUCAUAUACGUGUCAAUAGUAACAUUGAUUGAUUUAAAGUGGCUUUUAAAACCGGACAAGCCUUUGAUUUACAAGCAGAACGUGCAAAGGAGGUCGCAACGCGCUAAUAAACCCAUCUGUAUUGAAGAUGUAAUGAAGUAUUUUAUGCUGGACACGUUAUCACGACCGUUCUGCGGGACUGUAUUCACAGUAAUGCCGAGGAGCGUCGCUUCUGCUUGGAAAUGAAAAAAAAAAAAAAGUAAAUGAAAUCCGUUUGAACACGUUUCUCAGUGUGAUUGAGAUACACGAAUCGCUUGACAUGUAUCAAGUGAAUUCUUAAAGGCGAGUGGAACGGCAGUGUUGCGAUGCAGUAACUUGCAGCUUGAGGUUCGCUGAUGUGUAGCAGGAUCGGGCAGCAAUAACUGAAGGAAUCCUGAAGGGUGGCGCUAAGCUCCAGUGUAACUUGCUAAGGCUUUUUAUGCAACGAGCCUCUUAUUGGAACUUCAUGUAACCCUUUUACCACAGUAAACACGCAUGGCAAUUGU
Polyodon spathula (Mississippi paddlefish) is the source of this 1836-nucleotide long non-coding RNA. RefSeq lists it as uncharacterized. NCBI's taxonomy places the organism in Eukaryota, Metazoa, Chordata, Actinopteri, Acipenseriformes, Polyodontidae. The transcript has 2 exons. The record is from RefSeq and is a predicted model, not a curated record.